Molecule: long non-coding RNA, 809 nt
Organism: Prinia subflava (tawny-flanked prinia)
Lineage: Eukaryota; Metazoa; Chordata; Aves; Passeriformes; Cisticolidae
Exons: 2
Source: RefSeq, a predicted model, not a curated record
CCCCGCUUCUGAAAUGACUAUAAAAGCUUCCCCCCUGUGACUCACACUUUGAGAUCUCCCCACGGACAGAAGACAGAUCCAUUGGCCAGACGCCACGCCACGAGGACGCCUCUGCCGUUGUCCUGAAGACUUCACAACCGCGCUGCUGAAUCAACGGAGUUAUCUUGACGACGAUCGUGAGUCACGGGGUGGUGUGAGAGUCGGGACCCGAGGGUCCCUGGUUUUGCCUCACAACCUUUGUCAAGGUCCUCUGUCAAGGAAGGGACUGUGUGCAAGGGGCUCGGGCCUAACCCACGGUGUGUGUGUGUACCAAGCACUGAACUGCAGGUGUGACUACUGGACCGGAGCUGGCUCCCAUGGGAACUUGUACGAAGACAAUGGACGGCUGGACAGCCUGUGCUUACCUGCAACCAGGCCCAGACCUGCUUGUCCCAGACCUGCUCGAUCUAAACGGUUGCACCUGGUUCCCAGAGCAACGGGGCUCCUCACAAUGACUUUCGGGUGCUCCCUCCCGCUUCUGCCCACCUUGGCCAGGUGCCCCCCCCCCCGCUUUACCUGUGUUGGCCAGGUGCCCCCCGCUUCUGAAAUGACUAUAAAAGCUUCCCCCCUGUGACUCACACUUUGAGAUCUCCCCACGGACAGAAGACAGAUCCAUUGGCCAGACGCCACGCCACGAGGACGCCUCUGCCGUUGGUAGCUAUGUCCCCCUGCCCCCCCUUUCUCGUUCUGUAUCCUAUUUUUCCUUUCUUAUUCCCUCUAUCGCAAGUGUUGUUGGCACUCAAUAAAGGUGCAUUUGUUGUAUGAUUAAA